ACUAAACAUUCAGGACUAUCUUCCACAACUUCACGAGAAUGCAUGAGUCAGAUCAAAGGAUGAAGCUACAGGUGUGCACUAUGAUAAGGGUAUCAUUGGUCAACGAGAAGGACAAAGCAAUUUUUUCCCAAGAACUACAUUUUGGAUAAAAAUACAAGAGACCAA
Long non-coding RNA from Mastomys coucha (southern multimammate mouse), 165 nucleotides. RefSeq lists it as uncharacterized. The record is from RefSeq and is a predicted model, not a curated record. The transcript is spliced from 3 exons. NCBI's taxonomy places the organism in Eukaryota, Metazoa, Chordata, Mammalia, Rodentia, Muridae.